GACGAACGCUGGCGGCGUGCUUAACACAUGCAAGUCGAACGGAAAGGCCCUGCUUUUGUGGGGUGCUCGAGUGGCGAACGGGUGAGUAACACGUGAGUAACCUGCCCUUGACUUUGGGAUAACUUCAGGAAACUGGGGCUAAUACCGGAUAGGAGCUCCUGCUGCAUGGUGGGGGUUGGAAAGUUUCGGCGGUUGGGGAUGGACUCGCGGCUUAUCAGCUUGUUGGUGGGGUAGUGGCUUACCAGGGCUUUGACGGGUAGCCGGCCUGAGAGGGUGACCGGCCACAUUGGGACUGAGAUACGGCCCGGACUCCUACGGGAGGCAGCAGUGGGGAAUAUUGCACAAUGGGCGGAAGCCUGAUGCAGCAACGCCGCGUGCGGGAUGACGGCCUUCGGGUUGUAAACCGCUUUCGCCUGUGACGAAGCGUGAGUGACGGUAAUGGGUAAAGAAGCACCGGCUAACUACGUG
This 468-nucleotide ribosomal RNA is filed under the name uncultured bacterium. Its description in RNAcentral is "partial 16S ribosomal RNA". It matches the Rfam family "Bacterial small subunit ribosomal RNA", at positions 28 to 507 of the family's 1533-position model. The record is from RNAcentral.